This 1266-nucleotide long non-coding RNA is filed under the name Strigops habroptila (Kakapo). Its description in RNAcentral is "lncRNA (ENSSHBG00005002539.1)". The record is from RNAcentral. Lineage: Eukaryota; Metazoa; Chordata; Aves; Psittaciformes; Psittacidae.
UUACAGCAAGCUCAUCUCAAUUUUUUAUUUAGGUUUUUUAAACAUGAUUAAGCUUCAGAAGCCAUCAGGCAGGCACAACAUUGUACUGCUCCAGCGAUUUUCCUAACAGUUGCACUGACUUGUUUGGCAUCUCAUCUUGUCUCCGAACAUGACCAGAGAAAGGGAUUUUGGUUUGUACGAAAGAAUAUGGCACACAAAGCACCAAAGAGAUUAAGAGCCUGAUAGCAAUCUUGACUUGUCACCAUUUUAGUUUUGUAAGACUUAUGCAUGCACCACACAGAAAUUCAGAGCAUUAAAGCCAACAGCUGGUAGUAGCCAGGUGGAGGUCAGAUUUUUUCCCUCAUUAAAGAUAAAUAUGAAAAGCACCACAGGGUUACUUUGGACUAAUGAAGGGUGAACUCAAACAUCACCACAAAAGCAAAUUCUCUUCAGGACGGCUGGACAAAUCGCUUCCAGUACAAAUGUAAAGGAUGCUGGGCAGGCUUCUUUUCACAGAUGAGAUGUGCUUGUAAAUGCAGACAAAUCUCUCUGCAUAUGCAGAGCAAACCUCAAAAAUUUCAGCCAGUUGAACAAGACUCCCCAGCCAGAAACAUUAAGUCCUGGAACACAAUGAUUUACAAGACACUUUUUCCAGCUGAGGAUCAAGGCGCAGCACCGCAAGAUGCUGGUGAGCAACAAGUCACAUGUCUGUACAUGCAGUGUUUUAAGAACCCAAUUUUCUCUGUUCUUCUGGAAACAGAAGUAUCAGAAGCCUCUGAUGGAAGAAAACUUUACAAAGAAAAAUUUCAGGGAGUUAAAGAGAACCUCAAAGAGACCAAAGAAAAUGAGGACAAAUUUCAGUAUGUUGAUAAUUCUGGAGAGUACUUUUAACAUGAAGAGAAUACAGAGACUAGACCUCUAUUUAGCUGUUCUAUAAAAGCCAUAGCAGCAGUGGUUGGGUUUUGCUACUUGUUUUGGUAAGCAGAUGAGGAGGCCAAUACAAUGUGUUCAAUAACUGGAGCUCCAAGUAUAGGCAAUGUGUGUGCACAUAUGGCUGAUUAAGUCAUGGCCCAUCAGGUACAGGCAAACUUCACAUAUAGGACAGAAUAAAAUGGUAUGAGGAAUAAAGCACGCGAUCAAAAUCUAACUUAGCAGACUCUGGAGAAGACAAGCCUACCCAGGUUUUAAACGUUUGUUGAGCCAAGCAAAGAGCUUUCUGAGCUUGAAACAUCUUUUCAUGUGAAAGGAAUUUGAAACUUUAGGGUCUACGAUGAAAAAAAAAAAAAA